This 366-nucleotide long non-coding RNA is filed under the name Gallus gallus (chicken). RNAcentral describes it as "lncRNA (ENSGALG00010020985.1)". Lineage: Eukaryota; Metazoa; Chordata; Aves; Galliformes; Phasianidae. The record is from RNAcentral.
AUCACCAUCACUGCUGCCUCAGCUCCCCCUCUGUGAACACCUUCCCCCACAUCUGAUCCAAAUCUCCCUAUCACUGGGAUAGGCUUCCCAGGGAGGUGGUUGAGUCACCGUCCCUGGAUGUGUUGAAGAGCCGUUUGGAUGUGGUGCUCGGAGAUAUGAUUUAGAGGAGGGUUGUUAGAGUUAGGGGACUAUGGUUAGGCUGCGCUUGGACCUGAUGAUCUCUGAGGUCCUUUCCAACCUGAGUAAUUCUAUGAUUGUAUGAUUCUUUCUCCAUAACAGAGGUGCUGCAGCCUCUGAGCGAAGCACCUGGAGAAAACCGUUUCCUCUUCUCAUCUGGGGUCGAUGUAGGGCAUGCAAGAGGCGAAU